UGGGGAAUAUUGGACAAUGGGCGCAAGCCUGAUCCAGCAAUGCCGCGUGAGUGAUGAAGGCCUUCGGGUUGUAAAGCUCUUUCGCCCGCGACGAUGAUGACGGUAGCGGGAGAAGAAGCCCCGGCUAACUUCGUGCCAGCAGCCGCGGUAAUACGAAGGGGGCGAGCGUUGUUCGGAAUUACUGGGCGUAAAGGGCGCGUAGGCGGCCCCUUUUGUCGCGUGUGAAAGCCCCGGGCUCAACCUGGGAACUGCGCGCGAAACGGGGGGGCUUGAGUUCGGGAGAGGAGAGUGGAAUUCCCAGUGUAGAGGUGAAAUUCGUAGAUAUUGGGAAGAACACCGGUGGCGAAGGCGGCUCUCUGGACCGAGACUGACGCUGAGGCGCGAAAGCGUGGGGAGCAAACAGGAUUAGAUACCCCCGUAGUCC
RNAcentral lists this ribosomal RNA (424 nucleotides) under uncultured bacterium. Its description in RNAcentral is "bacterial SSU rRNA". It matches the Rfam family "Bacterial small subunit ribosomal RNA", at positions 355 to 796 of the family's 1533-position model. The record is from RNAcentral.